This 290-nucleotide unclassified non-coding RNA is filed under the name Hevea brasiliensis (rubber tree). The record is from RNAcentral. Lineage: Eukaryota; Viridiplantae; Streptophyta; Magnoliopsida; Malpighiales; Euphorbiaceae.
AACUAACUAUGGGGGUUGGGGGGGAAUAAGUUUAUUGCAUUUUUUCAAAUGUCUUGAAUUACGUACAAUGUGAUGAUGAAUUCAAAUGUAUUGAGGACUUGGGCUGCAUGCUUUAUGCAGAGUGUAUGUGUUGCACCUUUGUUUUAUCAAUAUGAUUUUCUUUUGCUGAUACCACUAAAAGAAAAGCCGAAAAAGAAAUGUGAAUUUAAGUCAUUUAGACGCUACUCCUGCUUGAUAAUAAAAUUUCCAAGAAUAUCAAACUUUCUCUAGGGUGAAGGUUGCAUAGUUUU